UUGUAUCUUGGGUGUUCUAUGUUUCUGGG
RNAcentral lists this non-coding RNA (29 nucleotides) under Mus musculus (house mouse). Lineage: Eukaryota; Metazoa; Chordata; Mammalia; Rodentia; Muridae. The record is from RNAcentral.